This 546-nucleotide long non-coding RNA is filed under the name Pan troglodytes (chimpanzee). Its description in RNAcentral is "lncRNA (ENSPTRG00000053194.1)". Lineage: Eukaryota; Metazoa; Chordata; Mammalia; Primates; Hominidae. The record is from RNAcentral.
CAAGAUCUCACUGUCACUCAAGUUGGAGUGCAGUGGUACAAUCAUAGCUCACUGUAACCUUGAACUCCUGGGCUCAAGCGACCCUCCCACCUCAGCCUCCCAAGUAGGUAGGACUCUAAGCAUGUGCCAUCAUAUCCCACUAAUUAUUUUUUUUUUUUUUUAGAGACAGGGUCUCACCAUUUUCCCAGGUCGAUCUCAAACUCCUAGACUGAAGCCCUGCACUUACCUCCUAACACACUCUAUACUAGAAGGCUGAGGAGUGGAGCCCCACCUGAUCUUACAGCUUCUUUUCUGAACUCUUGCCUUGGGACAAUGGUGCCUGUGUAUCAAGACACUGUAAGGAGGGCAGGUGACCUGCUGACCUGCUCAGAUGACUUGGUCAUGGAUGGCCCAUCUUUCCUUGGAAAAGGACACCUUUAGGACUCCGAGUGUAAGAAGGCAUUUUGCGGGUAUAUCUUCUUUUCCCAUUAUAAUUUAAGAUUGAUAACAUGGAAGCAGUAGGUCUUAUAGAGGGCAUCCAGAUAACUGGAUAAUAAAAAAUUGAAA